AUAUAUGGUGGGGUUAAACAAAGAAUACCCCUAUGUAUAGAGAAUAAAGAAUAGAUCUGAGCCCUUAAAACCGCUUAAUCGUUCGGUUAAAAAUAAAUCUGCUGCCCCAUUUUAAUUACCACAAUUAUUGUUCAAAAUUACAUUUUAUAUAGAAUAAGGGUAUUUCAGUAACUGUGCAAAUUAGUAAAAAUGGCAACCACCGAAUUUUACUCCCAUUUACCUCAUUUCAUCUCCCCCCACCCCAUUUUACUCCCAAUAUACCCUACAAUCGGUAACUUCUCUCUUCCCCUGCCUGUUCUUGGUUUCGGCGGCUGUCCAUAGCAGAGCGCGCGUCGCUGCGAUCGGCGAUGAUACUCUGCGCGGCGGGUUUCCAAGUUUUUCGACAAGAAUUAGUUUCCAUUUACAGAUUUUCGACCAUCUCUUCUAUUUUCGAUUGUUCAUUGAAUCAUUUUUUUUUCCGAUUAUUUCGUAGUUCUUGGUCGACAAUUUGGAAUAGAGGUUUUCUGCUUGAAGAUACAGCGUGGCUGAAAUCAAACAGAGCUUAUCAGGUUCAGCCAGUUCAGACAACAUAUAACUCCACAUCCUCUGAUAAUGAUUAUCAGAUUAAGGGCUUUGAUUUUUACUAGUUUGUCGAUGCAUAGUGUGAUACAAAGAGACUAUGUGGGUGAGGAUUAUGAAUGUUGAAGAGACUGAAUUCGAACUGAUCAUUAGGUUUUUUGAAACAAGAGUGUUUUGUUUGAUUGAUGAACUAUUUCUCUAAUGUCAUUGUAACAUGUAGCAGUUAUGUUGCCUGGGUGAAAGGUUUGCGAAGAGUUAAUGUUGGUUUGAUUUUUCAUUUGAGUUUCUGUUCAUCAAAGAGUUGUAUUAUGUUCAUUUAGAAUUUUGUUAUGUUCAUUGUAAAAUAUAAAUAUUUGAGGUUUGCGAA
Salvia miltiorrhiza (redroot sage) is the source of this 925-nucleotide long non-coding RNA. RefSeq lists it as uncharacterized. The record is from RefSeq and is a predicted model, not a curated record. The transcript has 2 exons. NCBI's taxonomy places the organism in Eukaryota, Viridiplantae, Streptophyta, Magnoliopsida, Lamiales, Lamiaceae.